CCUACGGGAGGCAGCAGUGGGGAAUUUUGGACAAUGGACGCAAGUCUGAUCCAGCAAUGCCGCGUGCAGGAUGAAGGCCUUCGGGUUGUAAACUGCUUUUGUACGGAACGAAAAGGUCUGCCCUAAUACGGUGGGCCCAUGACGGUACCGUAAGAAUAAGCACCGGCUAACUACGUGCCAGCAGCCGCGGUAAUACGUAGGGUGCAAGCGUUAAUCGGAAUUACUGGGCGUAAAGCGUGCGCAGGCGGUUAUAUAAGACAGAUGUGAAAUCCCCGGGCUCAACCUGGGACCUGCAUUUGUGACUGUAUAGCUAGAGUACGGUAGAGGGGGAUGGAAUUCCGCGUGUAGCAGUGAAAUGCGUAGAUAUGCGGAGGAACACCGAUGGCGAAGGCAAUCCCCUGGACCUGUACUGACGCUCAUGCACGAAAGCGUGGGGAGCAAACAGGAUUAGAUACCCUGGUAGUCCACGCCCUAAACGAUGUCAACUGGUUGUUGGAUCUUUACUGAUUCUAGUAACGAAGACUACGCGUGAGUUAGACCGCCGUGGGAGGUACGGCCGCGAGGUUAGUAAACGUUAAAGGUAAAGUUAGUACGGCGUGAGACGUAGACCGACGGACGACGACGAGGGAGGAGG
This 634-nucleotide ribosomal RNA is filed under the name uncultured bacterium. RNAcentral's name for it is "bacterial SSU rRNA". The stretch from base 1 to 543 matches the Rfam family "Bacterial small subunit ribosomal RNA", at positions 338 to 873 of the family's 1533-position model. The record is from RNAcentral.